Molecule: long non-coding RNA, 1497 nt
Filed under: Gossypium barbadense (sea-island cotton)
Lineage: Eukaryota; Viridiplantae; Streptophyta; Magnoliopsida; Malvales; Malvaceae
Description: long non-coding RNA (GBAR_LNC008594)
Source: RNAcentral
CACAAUAAUCGGCAGUAGAAAACUCUAGAGACAUUGCAUCCCAGUUGGCUUCAACAAAACCUCCUUCAAAACAACUCCACCGCCUGGAAAAACACACUUCAUUCAUAUCAAACGUUACUUCCAUCAAUCAACAGCAAUCAAUAUUCACCCACUUCCUACCCACUUUCCUUCUUGAGAGAAACCAAACAUUUGAAGCUUACUGCAAAACUCCCCCCACUUCCUCCUCCGCCAUCCGACCCCUCGACUCCCUCUGGCUCUCCGUCCAUCUCCUCUCCUCAUCCGCCACGGCCUCAGCCCCACGAGGAACUCGAUUACAGAUAAGUAAAAACUCUAUUUUUAAGACCGUCAGUCGCUAUUAUAUGGGCAACACUAUUAGAGAACCUGUUGAUAAAACGAAACCCACAAUAGUCAAAGUUUAAACUCCGAACCUUUGAAUCUCUAAUUAUUGCAGCUAUUUCAGAUCUAUUCUCGUUUACAUUUGCAGUUUACGAAUCACCGUCCGAGAGUCCCCUUCCACUUCCACCUCCUUGAGUCCAAGUUGAACACCCAGAUCAAGAGCCUGAAAGCAUGCCAAUGCUUCAGCCGCAACCGCAGACGGUACGUUCACAUGUAAAACUGAUCUAGAGCAAACAACUUCUGCCUUUUCAUUCCUUACCACUAACCCAGAACACGAUUCUCUUCGUUGUCUGUUGCAAGCGGCAUCAAAAUUAAUUUUGAUUCGCGGGCAAAUCGGAGCGACCCAUCUGACAUUAUUGACACUUCUCUCAGGUAAAGGCGCUUUCGCCCCAUCUAACUCCUUAAUGUAGUUAAGCACAAACUCAGCAACUUGAGCGCCCGAUUUCAUUUCCCCCUCAUGUAGAAAUCUAUUUCUAGAUGUCCAAAUCGCCCAUAGUGCACAAGAGAUCAAUCUGCACUUGGAAAUAGACUGAGAAACAAAAAAAUUCAUUAGAUCUGCAUGAAAAUCAGAAUCCACUGUCGGGCUAGUCCAAGAUAAAUUUAACUUCUCCCAUGUUUCUUUUGCGACAGGACAGUCCCUGAACAAGUGCAUCCCCGUUUCUGCUCCCGAAUGACACCUCCAGCACAUGGUAGAAUCAAUCAGCCUUCUGUAGUGUAGAUUACUGUAGUUAGGCAGAAAAUUACGAGUGCAACGCCAGAUUGUAAUUUUAAUUUUAAAAGGCAGCUCUAGGCUCCAAAGUCGCUUGUAAAAUUGUUUGUAACAAGUCUGUAAUUGAUCCUGGCCUUCUUGUAAAAGAAUCUUGUACCCACUUCGGACCGAGUACACACUCCCCAGUCGGCUUUCCACUCCAAGUAAGUUGGUCCACAUGCGUACUUAAUGACAAAGGAAUACUCAAAAUACGCUCAGCAACACUCUCACCGGGAAGUUAUUAUAAAUUAACUCAGCGUUCCAUCUUCUUGUAACAGUGUCAAUCAGAUCCGCAACCUUUAUUAAACCCUCAUUGAAAAUUGGACUCUGAAUUCUAACUUCUUCUAGUUCAG